Molecule: ribosomal RNA, 477 nt
Filed under: uncultured bacterium
Lineage: Bacteria
Description: partial 16S ribosomal RNA
Rfam family: Bacterial small subunit ribosomal RNA
Source: RNAcentral
GAUGAACGCUGGCGGCGUGCCUAACACAUGCAAGUCGAACGAAGCACCUUACCUGAUUCUUCGGAUGAAAGUUUGGUGACUGAGUGGCGGACGGGUGAGUAACGCGUGGGUAACCUGCCCUGUACAGGGGGAUAACAGCUGGAAACGGCUGCUAAUACCGCAUAAGCGCACGAGGAGACAUCUCCUUGUGUGAAAAACUCCGGUGGUACAGGAUGGGCCCGCGUCUGAUUAGCUGGUUGGCAGGGUAACGGCCUACCAAGGCAACGAUCAGUAGCCGGUCUGAGAGGAUGAACGGCCACAUUGGAACUGAGACACGGUCCAAACUCCUACGGGAGGCAGCAGUGUGGAAUAUUGCACAAUGGGGGAAACCCUGAUGCAGCAACGCCGCGUGAGUGAAGAAGUAUUUCGGUAUGUAAAGCUCUAUCAGCAGGGAAGAUAAUGACGGUACCUGACUAAGAAGCUCCGGCUAAAUACGUG